GAUCCUGGCUCAGGACGAACGCUGGCGGCGUGCUUAACACAUGCAAGUCGAACGGUGAAGCGCCUUCCUUUGUGGUGGGUGUGGAUGAGUGGCGAACGGGUGAGUAACACGUGAGUAACCUGCCCCCUUCUUCUGGAUAACCGCAUGAAAGUGUGGCUAAUACGGGAUAUUCUGUGCCUGCUGCAUGGUGGGUGUGGGAAAGAUUGCGCCUUUGGGUGUUUUUGGUGGGGGAUGGGCUCGCGGCCUAUCAGCUUGUUGGUGGGGUGAUGGCCUACCAAGGCGGUGACGGGUAGCCGGCCUGAGAGGGUGGACGGUCACACUGGGACUGAGACACGGCCCAGACUCCUACGGGAGGCAGCAGUGGGGAAUAUUGCACAAUGGGCGCAAGCCUGAUGCAGCGACGCCGCGUGAGGGAUGGAGGCCUUCGGGUUGUGAACCUCUUUCGCCAGUGAAGCAGGCCUGUCCCUGUGUGGGUGGGUUGACGGUAGCUGGAUAAGAAGCGCCGGCUAACUACGUGCCAGCAG
This 524-nucleotide ribosomal RNA is filed under the name Actinomyces sp. 12-932. Its description in RNAcentral is "bacterial SSU rRNA". It matches the Rfam family "Bacterial small subunit ribosomal RNA", at positions 15 to 514 of the family's 1533-position model. Lineage: Bacteria; Bacillati; Actinomycetota; Actinomycetes; Actinomycetales; Actinomycetaceae. The record is from RNAcentral.